CCUACGGGUGGCAGCAGUGAGGAAUAUUGGUCAAUGGACGAAAGUCUGAACCAGCCAAGUAGCGUGAAGGAUGACUGCCCUAUGGGUUGUAAACUUCUUUUAUGAAGGAAUAAAGUGAGGCACGUGUGCCUUUUUGCAGGUACUUUAUGAAUAAGGACCGGCUAACUCCGUGCCAGCAGCCGCGGUAAUACGGAGGAUCCGAGCGUUAUCCGGAUGUAUUGGGUUUAAAGGGAGCGUAGUUGGGUUGUUAAGUCAGUUGUGAAAGUUUGCGGCUCAACCGUAAAAUUGCAAUUGAUACUGGCAGUCUUGAGUACAGUUGAGGUAGGCGGAAUUCGUGGUGUAGCGGUGAAAUGCUUAGAUAUCACGAAGAACUCCGAUUGCGAAGGCAGCUUACUAAACUGCCACUGACAUUGAGGCUCGAAAGUGUGGGUAUCAAACAGGAUUAGAUACCCGUGUAGUC
RNAcentral lists this ribosomal RNA (460 nucleotides) under uncultured bacterium. RNAcentral describes it as "partial 16S ribosomal RNA". It matches the Rfam family "Bacterial small subunit ribosomal RNA", at positions 338 to 795 of the family's 1533-position model. The record is from RNAcentral.